Long non-coding RNA from Drosophila yakuba, 250 nucleotides. RefSeq lists it as uncharacterized. NCBI's taxonomy places the organism in Eukaryota, Metazoa, Arthropoda, Insecta, Diptera, Drosophilidae. The transcript has 3 exons. The record is from RefSeq and is a predicted model, not a curated record.
CGCCUAGUGCGAAUGGUAAAUACAAAACUUAUAAAAACAUACACUAUUGGAUAACAACACUGUGAAAAGUUGCCCUUAACUAAAUUAGUUAGUUCUAAACCAAAAACAUAAAAGCCGGCGCUUGUUCAGAAAACUUAUGUAUUUGGACUCAACGUGAAAACAAGCAAUUAAGUUACUCGUAAGCAUCUGCCCACCUGUUGCAUGUACUGAGAUCCGCCGUCGGGACCGACUGGAACUAUGAGGCGUCCGC